This 301-nucleotide ribosomal RNA is filed under the name uncultured bacterium. RNAcentral describes it as "partial 16S ribosomal RNA". It matches the Rfam family "Bacterial small subunit ribosomal RNA", at positions 512 to 810 of the family's 1533-position model. The record is from RNAcentral.
CCGCCGCGGUAAUACAGAGGGUGCGAGCGUUAAUCGGAUUUACUGGGCGUAAAGUGUGCGUAGGCGGCUUCUUAAGUCGGAUGUGAAAUCCCUGAGCUUAACUUAGGAAUUGCAUUCGAUACUGGGAAGCUAGAGUAUGGGAGAGGAUGGUAGAAUUCCAGGUGUAGCGGUGAAAUGCGUAGAGAUCUGGAGGAAUACCGAUGGCGAAGGCAGCCAUCUGGCCUAAUACUGACGCUGAGGUACGAAAGCAUGGGGAGCAAACAGGAUUAGAUACCCCUGUAGUCCCUGUCUCUUAUACACA